AUGAGUGCUUUUAAGCUCCCUUUAGCAGUCUGUGAUGAUCUAAACCAGAUGGUACGUAACUACUAUUGGGGUGCUGAGAAAGGUAAACGCAAAACACACUGGUACGCUUGGGAUAAAAUGACAAGGCCGAAGUCCCUUGGCCGUUUGGGUUUUAGGGACUUUCGACUCUUCAAUCAAGCGCUACUAGCCAGGCAAGCAUGGAGAUUGAUUGCGUUCCCAAAUAGCCUUUGUGCUAGACUCUUGAAAGCAAAAUAUUACCCUAAUGGUAGACUAGAUGACACCGUGUUUACUGGUAAUCCAUCCCCAUCAUGGCAGGCUAUCAGUUAUGGGUUGGAUCUGCUGAAGAAGGGGCUGGUUUGGAGGAUCGCAAAUGGCCAGAAUGUUAGAAUAUGGAGGGACAGAUGGGUGGUGCGCGAGCCCUCAGGCGGAUUGAUCUCGAGGAAGGGGCGUUGUAGGUUCAAGUGGGUGUCUGAGCUCAUGGAUUAUAAUGGAACAUGGGACCAAACCAAACUAGAACAAUUCUUUUUACCCGUUGACAUAUGUGAGAUCUUGAAAAUACGGCCAUCUCCACGACUUGGUGUAGACUUUCUUGCUUGGGCACCAGAGAAGUCGGGCAUCUUUACUGUGCGCAGUGCUCAUUGACUUGCGUCG
This 651-nucleotide ribosomal RNA is filed under the name Triticum aestivum (bread wheat). RNAcentral describes it as "partial small subunit ribosomal RNA". The record is from RNAcentral. Lineage: Eukaryota; Viridiplantae; Streptophyta; Magnoliopsida; Poales; Poaceae.